RNAcentral lists this small nuclear RNA (106 nucleotides) under Castor canadensis (American beaver). Lineage: Eukaryota; Metazoa; Chordata; Mammalia; Rodentia; Castoridae. The record is from RNAcentral.
GUGCUCCCUUCAGCAGCACAGAUACUAAAUCUGAAUGAUACCGAGAAGAUUAGCAUGACCCCUGCAUAAGAAUGACAUGCAAAUUUAUGAAGUGUCCCAUAAAAAA